This 473-nucleotide ribosomal RNA is filed under the name uncultured bacterium. RNAcentral describes it as "bacterial SSU rRNA". It matches the Rfam family "Bacterial small subunit ribosomal RNA", at positions 335 to 801 of the family's 1533-position model. The record is from RNAcentral.
ACUCCUCGGGAGGCAGCAGUAGGGAAUCUUCCACAAUGGGCGCAAGCCUGAUGGAGCAACACCGCGUGAGUGAAGAAGGGUUUCGGUCUCGUAAAGCUCUGUUGUUAAAGAAGAACACGUAUGAGAGUAACUGUUCAUACGUUGACGGUAUUUAACCAGAAAGUCACGGCUAACUACGUGCCAGCAGCCGCGGUAAUACGUAGGUGGCAAGCGUUAUCCGGAUUUAUUGGGCGUAAAGAGAGUGCAGGCGGUUUUCUAAGUCUGAUGUGAAAGCCUUCGGCUUAACCGGAGAAGUGCAUCGGAAACUGGAUAACUUGAGUGCAGAAGAGGGUAGUGGAACUCCAUGUGUAGCGGUGGAAUGCGUAGAUAUAUGGAAGAACACCAGUGGCGAAGGCGGCUACCUGGUCUGCAACUGACGCUGAGACUCGAAAGCAUGGGUAGCGAACAGGAUUAGAUACCCUGGUAGGAUAGCG